RNAcentral lists this ribosomal RNA (429 nucleotides) under Bacteroidota bacterium. Its description in RNAcentral is "Bacteroidetes bacterium partial 16S ribosomal RNA". It matches the Rfam family "Bacterial small subunit ribosomal RNA", at positions 355 to 776 of the family's 1533-position model. The record is from RNAcentral. Lineage: Bacteria; Pseudomonadati; Bacteroidota.
UGGGGAAUUUUGGACAAUGGGCGAAAGCCUGAUCCAGCAAUGCCGCGUGUGUGAAGAAGGCCUUCGGGUUGUAAAGCACUUUUGUCCGGAAAGAAAUGGCUCUGGUUAAUACCUGGGGUCGAUUACGGUACCGGAAGAAUAAUGACCGUCUAACUACGUGCCAGCAGCCGCUGUAAUACGUAGGGUCCAAGCGUUACUCGGAAUUACUGGGCGUAAAGCGUGCGCAGGCGGUUGUGCAAGAACGAUGUGAAAUCCCCGAGCUUAACUUGGGAAUUGCAGUGACGACGGAACGGCUAGAGUGUGUCAGAGGGGGGUAGAAUUCCACGUGUAGCAGAGAAAUGCGUAGAGAUGUGGAGGAAUACCGAUGGCGAAGGCAGCCCCCUGGGAUAACACUGACGAUCAGGAACGAAAGCGUGGGGAGCAAACAGG